UGAAAGAAUAAUAUUAAGGCAGGUGAC
Molecule: non-coding RNA, 27 nt
Filed under: Rattus norvegicus (Norway rat)
Lineage: Eukaryota; Metazoa; Chordata; Mammalia; Rodentia; Muridae
Source: RNAcentral